This is a long non-coding RNA of Dicentrarchus labrax (European seabass), 693 nucleotides long. RefSeq lists it as uncharacterized. The transcript is spliced from 3 exons. The record is from RefSeq and is a predicted model, not a curated record. Lineage: Eukaryota; Metazoa; Chordata; Actinopteri; Moronidae.
CCGUUAUUAUCCAUCAGUUUUAAAUUGAACACCAAUAAUUAAUCGAUAGGAACCUACCGGCUCCGCGGCUCCGUGAAGAAGUGUGUUCUCUGUCAGUUCGGUCAUCGCUGUCUUCCGUUAACGGACAACCAUCUCAUGCAGGAGACCGCGGUUACGCACUGGCAACGUGGCUGAUGACCCCCCCUUGCCAACCCACAGACUGACCGGGAACGGAGGUAUAAUGAUCUCCAUUCUCACACCCGGUCAGUUGUGGAGAGGGGGAUCGGCCAGCUGAAGAGCCGGUGGCGCUGCCUGGACAGGACUGGGGGCAUGCUUUUAUAUCGGCCGGAAAAGGUGUGCCCAGUGUAUUGGCGUGUGCUGUCCUCCACAAUGUUGCGCACAGACACGCUGUGCCAUUGGUUGAGGUGGUGGGGUAACUACAGGAACCAGACCCUGGACCCAUUAACGCUCAACACAAUCCAGGUGCCAUUCAGACCCGACACCAAGUAAUUGCAACAAUAUAAAAAAGCACAGCACUUGUGAGGACACGGCCGGUUGGAUGGGACCCAGCAUCGGGGGGAGCGCAGGAAGUGCCCCUGGAGACCCCAGCCUGCACAGGAGAUUCUAAGGUGGUGCGUGGGGUGGCCGUGGACUGUACUGGGGUGGAGUGGGUGCCACCUGAUGCUCCACUGUCUGUGUGGAAAAUGAAAAAUA